UCGAGAAUCAUUCGCAAUGGGCGAAAGCCUGACGAUGCGACGCCGUGUGAGCGAUGAAGGCCUUAGGGUCGUAAAGCUCUUUCGCCUGGGAACAAGGGAGAGUAGAUAACACCUACUUAACUUGAGGGUACUAGGUAAAGAAGCACCGGCUAACUCCGUGCCAGCAGCUGCGGUAAUACGGAGGGUGCAAGCAUUAAUCGGAUUUAUUGGGCGUAAAGGGCGCGUAGGCGGGAAUGUAAGUCGUAUGUGAAAUCCCGGGGCUCAACCCCGGAACAGCAUGUGAAACUGCAUUUCUUGAGGGUAGGCGGAGAAAACGGAAUUCCACAAGUAGCGGUGAAAUGCGUAGAUAUGUGGAAGAACACCGGUGGCGAAGGCGGUUUUCUAGCUUAUUCCUGACGCUGAGGCGCGAAAGCAAGGGGAUCAAACAG
RNAcentral lists this ribosomal RNA (428 nucleotides) under uncultured bacterium. RNAcentral describes it as "bacterial SSU rRNA". It matches the Rfam family "Bacterial small subunit ribosomal RNA", at positions 355 to 775 of the family's 1533-position model. The record is from RNAcentral.